GUGGAUUAGAUACCCUGGUAGUCCUAGCUGUAAACGAUGAGCACUUGUCUGGGGAUCCUCCCAUAGGUUCCCGGACGUAGCGAAAGUGUUAAGUGCUCCGCCUGGGGAGUAUGGUCGCAAGGCUGAAACUCAAAGAAAUUGACGGGGGCUCACACAAGCGGUGGAGGAUGUGGCUUAAUUCGAGGCUACGCGAAGAACCUUAUCCAGGUCUUGACAUGUACGGAUUAACCCCGUGAAAGCGGGGCCACAGCUUCGGCUGGAACGUGCACAGGUGCUGCACGGUCGUCGCCAACU
This 294-nucleotide ribosomal RNA is filed under the name uncultured bacterium. RNAcentral describes it as "partial 16S ribosomal RNA". It matches the Rfam family "Bacterial small subunit ribosomal RNA", at positions 773 to 1060 of the family's 1533-position model. The record is from RNAcentral.